GCCAGGUUUGGUGGCACAAACCUGUAGUCCCAGCUACUUAGGAGGCUGAGGCAGGAGGAUUGCUUGAGCCCAGGAGUUCAAGGCUGCAGUGAGCUAUGAUAAUGCCAACUGCACUCUAGCCUGUGUGACACAGCAAAAGCCUGUCUCUA
Molecule: small RNA, 149 nt
Filed under: Pongo abelii (Sumatran orangutan)
Lineage: Eukaryota; Metazoa; Chordata; Mammalia; Primates; Hominidae
Description: Metazoan signal recognition particle RNA (ENSPPYG00000037682.1)
Rfam family: Metazoan signal recognition particle RNA
About the family: The signal recognition particle (SRP) is a universally conserved ribonucleoprotein.
Source: Rfam by way of RNAcentral